CCUACGGGGGGCUGCAGUAGGGAAUAUUAGUAAUGGGCGAAAGCCUGAACUAGCGACACCGCGUGUGCGAAGAAGGCCUUCGGGUUGUAAAGCACUUUUAGAGAGGAUGAGGAAGGACGGUACUCUCUGAAUAAGUCUCGGCUAACUACGUGCCAGCAGCCGCGGUAACACGUAGGAGGCAAACGUUAUCCGGAUUUACUGGGCGUAAAGCGCGUGUAGGUGGUUCUGUAAGUAGGGCGUGAAAGCUCCUGGCUCAACUGGGAGAGGCCGUUCUAAACUGCAGAGCUAGAGGAUGGUAGAGGAAGGUGGAAUUCCGGGUGUAGCGGUGGAAUGCGCAGAUAUCCGGAGGAACACCAGUGGCGAAGGCGGCCUUCUGGACCAUUCCUGACACUCAGACGCGAAAGCUAGGGUAGCAAACGGGAUUAGAUACCCUGGUAGUC
Molecule: ribosomal RNA, 440 nt
Filed under: uncultured Anaerolineaceae bacterium
Lineage: Bacteria; Bacillati; Chloroflexota; Anaerolineae; Anaerolineales; Anaerolineaceae
Description: bacterial SSU rRNA
Rfam family: Bacterial small subunit ribosomal RNA
Source: RNAcentral